Molecule: ribosomal RNA, 497 nt
Filed under: uncultured bacterium
Lineage: Bacteria
Description: partial 16S ribosomal RNA
Rfam family: Bacterial small subunit ribosomal RNA
Source: RNAcentral
GAUGAGCGCUGGCGGCGUGCCUAAUACAUGCAAGUCGAGCGAACAGACGAGGAGCUUGCUCCUUUGACGUUAGCGGCGGACGGGUGAGUAACACGUAGGUAACCUACCUAUAAGACUGGGAUAACUUCGGGAAACCGGAGCUAAUACCGGAUAAUAUUUCGAACCGCAUGGUUCGAUAGUGAAAGAUGGCUUUGCUAUCACUUAUAGAUGGACCUGCGCCGUAUUAGCUAGUUGGUAAGGUAACGGCUUACCAAGGCAACGAUACGUAGCCGACCUGAGAGGGUGAUCGGCCACACUGGAACUGAGACACGGUCCAGACUCCUACGGGAGGCAGCAGUAGGGAAUCUUCCGCAAUGGGCGAAAGCCUGACGGAGCAACGCCGCGUGAGUGAUGAAGGUCUUCGGAUCGUAAAACUCUGUUAUUAGGGAAGAACAAACGUGUAAGUAACUGUGCACGUCUUGACGGUACCUAAUCAGAAAGCCACGGCUAACUACGUG